UUCCGGUUGAUCCUGCCGGAGGCGACCGCUAUUGGAAUUCGAUUAAGCCAUGCGAGUCGAGAGUCGUAAUGGACUCGGCAUACUGCUCAGUAACACGUGGAUAACCUGCCCUGUUCUAGGGGAUAACCUCGAGAAAUUGAGAAUAAUACCCUAUAUUCCACUACGCCUGGAACGGUGAGUGGAUUAAAACUCCGGUGGAACAGGAUGGGUCUGCGGCAUAUCAGGUAGUAGUGGGUGUAACGGACCCACUAGCCUUCGACGUGUACGGGUUGUGGGAGCAAUCGCCCGGAGAUGGAUUCUGAGACACGAAUCCAGACCCCACGGGGUGCAGCAGGCGCGAAAACUUCACACUGCGGGAAACCGCGAUGAGGGAAUUCCAAGUGUCUGGGGUAAGACCCAGUCUUUUCUAGACUCUUAAUAGGUCUUGGAAUAAGGGGGGGGUAAGACCGGUGCCAGCCGCCGCGGUAAUACCGGCCCCCCAAGUGGUCGUCGCUUUUAUUGGGCCUAAAACGUCCGUAGCCGGUUUGGUACAUUCGUGGGUAAAUCAAGGCGCUCAACGUCUUGAAUUCUGCGAGCACGGCCAGACUUGGGACCGGGUGAGGUGUGGGGUACUCUCAGGGUAGGGGUAAAAUCCUGUCAUCCUGAGAGGACCACCUGUUGCGAAGGCGCCACACUAGAACGGAUCCGACGGUCAGGGACGAAGCCUAGGGGCACGAACCGGAUUAGAUACCCGGGUAGUCCUAGGUGUAAACGCUGUGGACUUGAUGUUGGGAGUGCUCCGAGCACCCUCAGUGUCGAAGCGAAGGUGAUAAGUCCACUGCCUGGGGAGUACGGUCGCAAGGCUGAAACUUAAAGGAAUUGGCGGGGGAGCACUGCAACCUGAGGAUUGUGCGGUUUAAUUGGAGUCAACGCCGG
This 915-nucleotide ribosomal RNA is filed under the name uncultured marine archaeon. RNAcentral's name for it is "bacterial SSU rRNA". It matches the Rfam family "Archaeal small subunit ribosomal RNA", at positions 1 to 921 of the family's 1478-position model. The record is from RNAcentral.